GACGAACGCUGGCGGCGUGCUUAACACAUGCAAGUCGAACGGAAAGGCCCUGCUUUUGUGGGGUGCUCGAGUGGCGAACGGGUGAGUAACACGUGAGUAACCUGCCCUUGACUUUGGGAAAACUUCAGGAAACUGGGGCUAAUACCGGAUAGGAGCUCCCGCUGCAUGGUGGGGGUUGGAAAGUUUCGGCGGUUGGGGAUGGACUCGCGGCUUAUCAGCUUGUUGGUGGGGUAGUGGCUUACCAAGGCUUUGACGGGUAGCCGGCCUGAGAGGGUGACCGGCCACAUUGGGACUGAGAUACGGCCCAGACUCCUACGGGAGGCAGCAGUGGGGAAUAUUGCACAAUGGGCGGAAGCCUGAUGCAGCAACGCCGCGUGCGGGAUGACGGCCUUCGGGUUGUAAACCGCUUUCGCCUGUGACGAAGCGUGAGUGACGGUAAUGGGUAAAGAAGCACCGGCUAACUACGUG
This 468-nucleotide ribosomal RNA is filed under the name uncultured bacterium. Its description in RNAcentral is "partial 16S ribosomal RNA". It matches the Rfam family "Bacterial small subunit ribosomal RNA", at positions 28 to 507 of the family's 1533-position model. The record is from RNAcentral.